This is a long non-coding RNA of Haliotis rubra (blacklip abalone), 1209 nucleotides long. RefSeq lists it as uncharacterized. The transcript is spliced from 2 exons. Lineage: Eukaryota; Metazoa; Mollusca; Gastropoda; Lepetellida; Haliotidae. The record is from RefSeq and is a predicted model, not a curated record.
AUCAUCACUGUGUGUAUGUGUACAACAACAGUCUAGGUGGCUAAGGUAUCGUCACAGGUUUAUACUCUAACUUGAACGAGGACGGUUAACUGACGUUAAAUAGGCAUACACCGACCAAUGAGUAAGGACCGCGUCGAUCAUUGUCAUGCUGUUCUAUCAACAGAAACUCGGCUGAAGGCUCAACUACAGCCAGUCGGCUCUGAGAAGACAGGCAGUAAACUGACAGAGGACUUUCGUGUACACGCUAUCAAGGACUAAAAUGCAAGGUACAGUUCGGAUUGUACUGGUGGGUAAAACUGGAAGCGGCAAAAGUGCAACUGGGAAUACCAUACUUGGAAGACCAGCGUUUGAAUCCGCUGCGAGGGCUAUCAGUGUGACCAGAAACUUUCAAAAAGAAAGACGUGUUCGUUACGACAAGGUCAUAGAGGUUUUGGACACACCACACAUAUACGGGAGAGGACAAACUGUUUAUGUGGAUGAAAACCUGAGUUAUGCUCCUGAUGUCAUACUCCUUGUAACACAAGUUGGACAAACCGAUGAAACAACUGCGGAUAUGGUAACUGAUAUGAUCAAGGAGUUUGGGGUCGAUAUUGAGAACCAUUUGGUCUUUGUAUUUACCAGAUCAAACGAAAUGUCCGCAUACGGUAUGUCACAUGAUCAAUUCAUUCAAAAGUUGCCAACGUCCAUGAGAAACACGGCAAGAAAAUGUCCGUGUGUGUUUCUGGACAAUGAGUCUUCAAACUCAGAAAAAGAGGACAAGGUUCAAGAACUUCUGUCUGCAAUAGAAGGUAUGACACGGAGAAAUCGUCCAGAACAUUUUCUUUUCAAACGGCGCUACUAUCUUCGACCACGAGUUUAAAUACAACAACUUAAGGAAUAUACAGAUCUGAACAAAGCUGGAUAAUAAUACAAUGACUAAUCACUAUUGAAACUACUCCAUGAAAAGUGUUCACAUAUCCAUAAUUUGAAAUUGGACCUUCACCUUAUCCUGAUAACAAGGAGAAUAUACAUAAUGGUGAUCAGUUUGACUAUUGACUACUGACAAUUCCGACCUCUCUUCCGAUAUUGGCGAUAUAAAUGGAUUCGACUCACACAUUAGAAAAAUGUGUCCUAGAAAAAUCACAUAAUGUGAUCGUUUCUGUGUGCUUUUAUCAUGUGCAGUGUCAAACAUAAGGUUUCAUUUUAAAUGCAUUAUAUAUUUGUGUGCUG